RNAcentral lists this ribosomal RNA (253 nucleotides) under uncultured bacterium. RNAcentral describes it as "partial 16S ribosomal RNA". It matches the Rfam family "Bacterial small subunit ribosomal RNA", at positions 524 to 776 of the family's 1533-position model. The record is from RNAcentral.
UACGGAGGGUGCGAGCGUUAUCCGGAAUUACUGGGGUUAAAGGGUGCGUAGGCGGCCAUGUAAGUCAGGAGUGAAAGUUUGCGGCUCAACCGUAAAAUUGCUUUUGAUACUGCAUGGCUGGAAUCAGGAUGAGGUCAGCGGAAUGUGGCAUGUAGCGGUGAAAUGCAUAGAUAUGCCAUAGAACACCAAUUGCGAAGGCAGCUGGCUAGACCUGUAUUGACGCUGAGGCACGAAAGCGUGGGGAGCGAACAGG